UACGAAGGGUGCAAGCGUUACUCGGAAUUACUGGGCGUAAAGCGUGCGUAGGCGGUUUGUUAAGUCUGUUGGGAAAGCCCCGGGCUCAACCUGGGAAUGGCAAUGGAAACUGGCGAGCUAGAGUACGGUAGAGGAGAGUGGAAUUCCCGGUGUAGCAGUGAAAUGCGUAGAGAUCGGGAGGAACAUCAGUUGCGAAGGCGGCUCUCUGGACCAGUACUGACGCUGAGGCACGAAAGCGUGGGGAGCAAACAGG
RNAcentral lists this ribosomal RNA (253 nucleotides) under uncultured bacterium. RNAcentral describes it as "partial 16S ribosomal RNA". It matches the Rfam family "Bacterial small subunit ribosomal RNA", at positions 524 to 776 of the family's 1533-position model. The record is from RNAcentral.